CCUACGGGCGGCACCAGUAGGGAAUCUUCGGCAAUGGACGAAAGUCUGACCGAGCAACGCCGCGUGAGUGAAGAAGGUUUUCGGAUCGUAAAACUCUGUUGUUAUAGAAGAACAAGUAGGAGAGUAACUGCUCUUACCUUGACGGUAUCUAACCAGAAAGCCACGGCUAACUACGUGCCAGCAGCCGCGGUAAUACGUAGGUGGCAAGCGUUGUCCGGAUUUAUUGGGCGUAAAGCGAGCGCAGGCGGUCUUUUAAGUCUGAUGUGAAAGCCCUCGGCUCAACCGAGGAAGGUCAUUGGAAACUGGAGGACUUGAGUGCAGAAGAGGAGAGUGGAAUUCCACGUGUAGCGGUGAAAUGCGUAGAGAUGUGGAGGAACACCAGUGGCGAAGGCGACUCUCUGGUUUGUAACUGACGCUGAGGAGCGAAAGCGUGGGGAGCGAACAGGAUUAGAUACCCCAGUAGUC
Molecule: ribosomal RNA, 465 nt
Filed under: uncultured bacterium
Lineage: Bacteria
Description: bacterial SSU rRNA
Rfam family: Bacterial small subunit ribosomal RNA
Source: RNAcentral